UUUGAGCUGGCGAGCGGCGGACGGGUGAGUAAUGCCUGGGAAAUUGCCCAGUCGAGGGGGAUAACAGUUGGAAACGACUGCUAAUACCGCAUACGCCCUACGGGGGAAAGCAGGGACUUCGGGCCUUGCGCGAUUGGAUAUGCCCAGGUGGGAUUAGCUAGUUGGUGAGGUAAUGGCUCACCAAGGCGACGAUCCCUAGCUGGUCUGAGAGGAUGAUCAGCCACACUGGAACUGGAGACACGGUCCAGACUCCUACGGGAGGCAGCAGUGGGGAAUAUUGCACAAUGGGGGAAACCCUGAUGCAGCCAUGCCGCGUGUGUGAAGAAGGCCUUCGGGUUGUAAAGCACUUUCAGUGAGGAGGAAAGGUCAGUAGCUAAUAUCUGCUGACUGUGACGUUACUCGCAAAGAAGCACCGGUUAACUCCGUGCCAGCAGCCGCGGUAAUACGGAGGGUGCAAGCGUCAAUCGGAAUUACUGGGCGUAAAGCGCACGCAGGCGGUUGGAUAAGUUAGAUGUGAAAGCCCCGGGCUCAACCUGGGAAUUGCAUUUAAAACUGUCCAGCUAGAGUCUUGUACAGGGGGGUAGAAUUCCAGGUGUACGG
Molecule: ribosomal RNA, 600 nt
Filed under: uncultured bacterium
Lineage: Bacteria
Description: bacterial SSU rRNA
Rfam family: Bacterial small subunit ribosomal RNA
Source: RNAcentral